Molecule: transfer RNA, 73 nt
Filed under: Podarcis lilfordi (Lilford's wall lizard)
Lineage: Eukaryota; Metazoa; Chordata; Lepidosauria; Squamata; Lacertidae
Rfam family: tRNA
About the family: Transfer RNA (tRNA) molecules are approximately 80 nucleotides in length. Their secondary structure includes four short double-helical elements and three loops (D, anti-codon, and T loops).
Source: Rfam by way of RNAcentral
CCCCUGGUAGCUCAGUCGGUAGCGCAUGAGACUCUUAAUCUCAGGGUGGUGGGUUCAAGCCCCAUGUUGGGCA